This 254-nucleotide ribosomal RNA is filed under the name uncultured bacterium. Its description in RNAcentral is "partial 16S ribosomal RNA". It matches the Rfam family "Bacterial small subunit ribosomal RNA", at positions 524 to 776 of the family's 1533-position model. The record is from RNAcentral.
UACGAAGGGGGCUAGCGUUGCUCGGAAUCACUGGGCGUAAAGAGCGCGUAGGCGGUCUUGUAAGUGUGAAGUGAAAUCUCCAGGGCUCAACCCGGAAACUGCUUUGCAUACUGCGAGACUUGAGGGAUGCAGAGGUUUGUGGAAUUCCUGGUGUAGCGGUGAAAUGCGUUGAUAUCAGGAGGAACACCCAUGGCGAAGGCAGCAAACUGGGCAUCAUCUGACGCUGAGGCGCGAAAGCGUGGGUAGCAAACAGG